GCUAAGUCACGCUGGCGCAGUCUUUAUCCUCUUUCUCUUCAUCUGCUCUUGUCAUCUCUCAUCCGGCGCACCGAGUCGCUGCCCGUGCAUGUGCGCUCGUACUGCUCCUCCGCUUGUACUGGGUGCUCCGCGCAGCGCUGUCUAACAAGACACUGUGCACGGCUGUGAUUGCGCGUCUUUCAUCGCGAUGGCGGCCGCGUCGGCGGCCUCGCCGUCUCACGGUGACCUUUCCAAAGACCACCUGUUCAUCCUCUGUCGUUUCGUGGGAGGCACCGUGGGCGGAGUGAUGCAGGCAGCCUCCAGCCACCCCUUCGACGCGAUCAAGUUCCGCGUACAGAACGGCAUCUUCCCCUCCAUCUCUUCCUGCGUGUGGAACACGUAGAAGGACGAGGGCAUCCGCGGCUUCUACAGCGGCUUCACACCGCAACUCCUUUUCUGCGGCUUUCAAAACGCUGCGCUCUUCAGCCUCAGCCAGACUAUGAACAGCCUGAUGGCCCUGCCGGAGCAGGGCCCACACACCCCGCCGCCGCUGUGGUGCACCGCCGUCGCGGCCCAGCUCACCACACCUCUUUAUGUGCUGACUGUGGCGCCUGUGGAGAAAGUGAAGGUUCAGUUGCAGAUGCUCGGCCAGGGUGGCAAGGAGUCUUCCACGGUGGCUGGGCCUGUUUCGUGCCUGCUUCACAUCAUUCGAGUGGAGGGCUACCGAGGCAUCUUCUCCGGCUACACCCCGACACUAAUGUCUCAUCUGAUUGGCCUGCCGUUUUACUUUAUGGGAUGCCAGACGGCGCGGACCACGCUGCUCGACACACCGCUUGCCUCGAUGGCAGCCGGCCGCGAGGUGGUGGUGCCGAUGCUGAGCGGUAUGGUCGCCGGCAUGUGCUUCUGGACGAGCAACUACCCGUGCGACUUUCUCAAGACCUGCGUGCAGGCCUCCAAGAAGAAGGUGUCCAUUUCCGACAUCAUCUGCACAACGUACGCGGCCGGUGGGGUGAGUGCCUUCUACAGGGGCUACACAGCAUGUUUUCUACGUUCCCUCCCAGCGAACGCCUCGGGGUGGCUGGGCAUCGAGCUGGUCACCACCUUUAUCAUCGGGCGCGGCUGUUAGACGGGCGUGGCCCAGGUGUGCCUCUAGGGGUGCGUAGUGCUCUAUAUGCGCAUGCAUGUGUGAGUGCUGAGUCCCAGAGUACAGCGGGUAGGGGUGAGGGCACGGCGGGCGAGACACUGAUAGGGAAGAGGAAAUGCAUCGAAAAAGAGUGUGGUAAGUGAGCACGAAUCGAUGGGUGAAGCCUCACCUCCGCUGUCGGCGGAGGCAAGCCCGACCAAACACAUAGCAUGUGCAUCAAAAGUUGCUCUCUCGCCAUCCCCAUCUUAUUCGGUCUCCGCGUCAGCGCCAGCGCCACCCCCCUCCUCCCCCUUCACCCCCUGACACCACCGCUCAUCCCGUAUCGUUCCCCCAACACCUUGACAACGCCUCUGACUAGCGCGUCGCAACUCGCUGUCGCUCUAAACCCCUCUUUCAG
RNAcentral lists this unclassified non-coding RNA (1520 nucleotides) under Leishmania donovani. Its description in RNAcentral is "gene:LdHU3.36.9390(CDS-product:mitochondrial_carr ier_protein_putative)". Lineage: Eukaryota; Euglenozoa; Kinetoplastea; Trypanosomatida; Trypanosomatidae. The record is from RNAcentral.